This 21-nucleotide microRNA is filed under the name Homo sapiens (human). Its description in RNAcentral is "hsa-miR-4438". The record is from miRBase by way of RNAcentral. Lineage: Eukaryota; Metazoa; Chordata; Mammalia; Primates; Hominidae.
CACAGGCUUAGAAAAGACAGU